RNAcentral lists this microRNA (25 nucleotides) under Salmo salar (Atlantic salmon). Its description in RNAcentral is "ssa-miR-338a-5p". Its record names the gene ssa-miR-338a-5p. Lineage: Eukaryota; Metazoa; Chordata; Actinopteri; Salmoniformes; Salmonidae. The record is from miRBase by way of RNAcentral.
AACAAUAUCCUGAUGCUGCAUGAGU